Molecule: long non-coding RNA, 1842 nt
Organism: Acanthochromis polyacanthus (spiny chromis)
Lineage: Eukaryota; Metazoa; Chordata; Actinopteri; Pomacentridae
Exons: 10
Source: RefSeq, a predicted model, not a curated record
GACAGUGAGGUGGCCAUAUUUACAGACGCCAUCCAAAAAGCAGUCAAAAAUACACAGGGAAAAGGGAAGUGUGGGGACUCCCAGUGGACAGCAGCAAGAGAGAGAUCAAAGAGGGCUUCAAAAUUGGAUGAAGAGGGGAUGGAGGUGGCAGUAUGUCGCCAUGGCUUUCUUUUGAAAGCCCUUAAUAUGUACAGGGGGGAGAUAUUUGCAUACCCCCUCUUCCUUCAGAAAGAACUGAUGCCAGCCAAGCCUCAGUUCUUUGCAAUGGAUGUGGCUUGCAAAUACUGGCCUUACUUUGUAAAAGCUGCCACUGUCCUUCCGGCCCUCCAGGAGCUGACAACCAUGAAGCCAUUCCUUAGUGUGAUGCAUGCAAUAGCUCAUGCAACAAAGUGUGAGAUCAAAUGGAGCGAUAGGAACCAGGAAGGAGCAGGGACAACUGCUGGUGAGGAGGUGGAGCAAGUGAAUAGCUACCUGUCUCGUUGUGCCCUGACGACAAAGUACAUGUCGAAAGCAGCAUGAGUGGACAUGCUUGCAUUGCAUGCUCUGGGGUGGAACCACAAAAAAAGGACCUUUUUACAUCAGGCCCUUUCUACAAGAUAUGUAAAGACCUGUCAAAGACUGCUAGAUGAGACUGUAAGGCUAGCUGAGCUGAAAGCAGAGCUACAGUGCACUGACGAAAUGGCAUCACAGUGGAUGUCUGAGGUGACUGAAUGGGCAGCUGACAAGACACCUCAUACCACUGAAGGCACCACACGGGAAGAAUGUCAACAGUCCAUUGUGGGACUCUUCCUGAGUGUCAGGCAGCGGAAGCAAAGUCUUUAUCGUCAAAAUGACAGCAGCAAGCUUCGCCACCGCCUUCGCAGGAAGCUGGGAGAGGACAAGAAGGUGCUUCUUCAGGAGAUGCAGACAUACAAUGCCUCUGCUCUAUCAGAGACUGAAAAAAUUGAUGUGGCUGUUGUGGAGCAUGCAUUGACUGGAGAGUGCACUGUGUCCCCUUUGUGGCCAUGGGAGGAUCAUGGCAUGGCAAACAUCACAAUCAAGAAGAGGGUGUAUGACCAAGUGAUGCUCACCAUGAGACUGCAAGAGGAGAAAAGCAUUUUGGUGUUGGAGAUGGUACAACAUUGCACAUGGUUGCAGAAGAAGGCAGAUGAACUUCGAAACAAGGUGGCUGAGAAUGGCAAGACCGACGAAGGACUUUGCUGUCUCUUUAAAAGACAACUUUCAGAGGUGUCAGAGCAGUUGCAAGUAGUCAUGCACCAGUACAAGACUGCUUUAGGCCCUGAGACCUCAGCCCUUCAAAUGGAGGAGGAAGAGGAGGAUCAAAGGGCCCUCAGCAGUCCAGACAGCAGUGAAGAUGAAGACAUCGCCGAUUAGAUGACGGACUGCAGUGAAGGGCAUGGACUUGGCAUGUUUUGUUUGAUGUAGGACAGUAGUAGCUCAGGGGGUAGAGUUUUUUUUCAGCAUACAGAAAGUUGGCAAUUCAAUCCCGCCCUAUCCUAGUUCUGUCCACGAUGUCCCACAACACUGAACCCACAUUGUUCCCAGUGAGUCUUCCGUAGUUAUGAUGAUGAAUGAUCAAGUUUGCUCAUGGAUGCCUUUGAGUUCCACUUGGGAGUGAAGAAUGGUGUCCAAGCUCCUGCUGUGCUCCAGGUCCCCUAGCCAGGGGAUUAACUUACCUCUAUAGUCUCUACAGUGUUCAGAAAUAAACUCAUCAAUGGAGGGCUUGCAUUGUUUGUGUUUACUUUGAGACUUGUUGGAUAUCAAGUGUCUCUUAAAAUGUGCACUGUUUAGGAAUGGGGCCUUAACCUAUGGCUUGUACAAUAAAUAUGCAUCAGCAAUAAA